GGGGUUGUAACUCAGUGGUAGAGUGUUCGCUUUGCAUGUGACAAGCCCGGAGAUCAAUCCUUCGCAACUUCA
Molecule: non-coding RNA, 72 nt
Organism: Daphnia pulex (common water flea)
Lineage: Eukaryota; Metazoa; Arthropoda; Branchiopoda; Diplostraca; Daphniidae
Source: Rfam